AUUGAACGCUGGCGGCAGGCCUAACACAUGCAAGUCGAGCGGAUGAAGGGAGCUUGCUCCUGGAUUCAGCGGCGGACGGGUGAGUAAUGCCUAGGAAUCUGCCUUGUAGUGGGGGAUAACGUCCGGAAACGGGCGCUAAUACCGCAUACGUCCUGAGGUAGAAAGUGGGGGAUCUUCGGACCUCACGCUAUCAGAUGAGCCUAGGUCGGAUUAGCUAGUUGGUGGGGUAAAGGCCUACCAAGGCGACGAUCCGUAACUGGUCUGAGAGGAUGAUCAGUCACACUGGAACUGAGACACGGUCCAGACUCCUACGGGAGGCAGCAGUGGGGAAUAUUGGACAAUGGGCGAAAGCCUGAUCCAGCCAUGCCGCGUGUGUGAAGAAGGUCUUCGGAUUGUAAAGCACUUUAAGUUGGGAGGAAGGGCAGUAAGUUAAUACCUUGCUGUUUUGACGUUACCAAAAGAAUAAGCACCGGCUAACUUCGUG
This 484-nucleotide ribosomal RNA is filed under the name uncultured bacterium. Its description in RNAcentral is "partial 16S ribosomal RNA". It matches the Rfam family "Bacterial small subunit ribosomal RNA", at positions 30 to 507 of the family's 1533-position model. The record is from RNAcentral.